Molecule: long non-coding RNA, 613 nt
Organism: Mesocricetus auratus (golden hamster)
Lineage: Eukaryota; Metazoa; Chordata; Mammalia; Rodentia; Cricetidae
Exons: 3
Source: RefSeq, a predicted model, not a curated record
AAACAUCCUUACACGUAGUAAUCAUUUCUGGGUUUUUAAAGGCAGAACACUAGUUACUUUUCUUGUUGCUGUUACCAAAUCAAGCAAAAGAGCAAGCUGAGGGAAGAGGGGCUAAUUAGGCUCAUGGCUGGAAUGUUUUCUAUCAGAUAAGGAGUUACAGGCUAAGUAGCUCUUGGCUGUGGAUGCUGGCUGGAGUGAGAGACUGCUCACUUCUAUGAGGAAGACCAGGAAGCAGAUAAAAGGUUGUUGAUGCCAUCCAGGUUUCCUCCUCUUUCUUUUUUCUUUAGCUAGGAGCUAAAAAGAGAUGGCACCACUCUCACAUAAGGGUACCCUUUGGAGUUCUCUGCAAGUUCUCUCUGCCCAUGCAAGGAUGAGGUACGAGCAAGCCACCUAAGUGCAAACUCAGACUGCCUUUUCUUCUUCCUGUGUUGCUGAAGACAUUCCAGGUUUUACGGCCGUUACUGCUUUUCGUAAUAUCGAUUACCCAUGAAGUGCAUCCUGAAGAAUUCGGGUAAACACGCCAUUUGGUGUUUGUGAACAGUGCUGCUCAGAUCCAGCUUAGUGCCAGUCACUUGUGCACCAGCCCAGCUUGGUUUUGCCAGUGGUCCGCAUU